This 75-nucleotide transfer RNA is filed under the name Enterococcus faecalis. Its description in RNAcentral is "tRNA-Ala". It matches the Rfam family "tRNA". Rfam says of the family: Transfer RNA (tRNA) molecules are approximately 80 nucleotides in length. Lineage: Bacteria; Bacillati; Bacillota; Bacilli; Lactobacillales; Enterococcaceae. The record is from RNAcentral.
GGAGGUUUAGCUCAGCUGGGAGAGCAUCUGCCUUGCAAGCAGAGGGUCAGCGGUUCGAAUCCCCGUUAACCUCCA